UGGGGAAUAUUGCACAAUGGGCGAAAGCCUGAUGCAGCGACGCCGCGUGAGGGAUGACGGCCUUCGGGUUGUAAACCUCUUUCAGCAGGGAAGAAGCGAAAGUGACGGUACCUGCAGAAGAAGCGCCGGCUAACUACGUGCCAGCAGCCGCGGUAAUACGUAGGGCGCAAGCGUUGUCCGGAAUUAUUGGGCGUAAAGAGCUCGUAGGCGGUUAGUCGCGUCUGCUGUGAAAACUCGAGGCUCAACCUCGGGCUUGCAGUGGGUACGGGCUGACUAGAGUGCGGUAGGGGUGACUGGAAUUCCUGGUGUAGCGGUGGAAUGCGCAGAUAUCAGGAGGAACACCGAUGGCGAAGGCAGGUCACUGGGCCGCAACUGACGCUGAGGAGCGAAAGCAUGGGGAGCGAACAGGAUUAGAUACCCUGGUAGUCCAUGCCGUAAACGUUGGGCACUAGGUGUGGGGUCCAUUCCACGGAUUCCGUGCCGCAGCAAACGCAUUAAGUGCCCCGCCUGGGGAGUACGGCCGCAAGGCUAAAACUUAAAUGAAUUGA
This 548-nucleotide ribosomal RNA is filed under the name uncultured bacterium. RNAcentral describes it as "partial 16S ribosomal RNA". It matches the Rfam family "Bacterial small subunit ribosomal RNA", at positions 355 to 913 of the family's 1533-position model. The record is from RNAcentral.